GCUGAUCUUGUUAGCUUGUCCUCAGUUCAUUGUGUUGAAGCAGAUACUGAUAUACAGUUUGGUGUAUGAUAAUGUUUGUGUAUAAACUGACCUGAACUACCCGUUACUUAUAUAGAAUAGGUACGGUUGUCAGUUGCAGGAAAGUGUGCCACAAUGUCCCUCUCCUGCUGAACAGCAACUGUGGACCCCUUGUCACUCCCCCGGGCCGUAUGUUUCUAUUAUCACGUGUCAUCGUUGUGUCCGCACGCGCAUCGCCUCUAGACUGUUUAUGUUUUGGACUUCUGGGAAGGCAGCUAGGUAACCAGUACAAAGCGACCUACCCGUGACGUAAGGCCGUGUUUGUGUAUAUAUACCAGGACCACGUGGCUUUGUUAUCGUCCCGCCAAUGACUCGCUCUGUCGAUUGUUUUGGGAUUUUCCAGUUGAGAUUUGAGUUUACGUGUAUUAGCUGUAAAGCCGGCUAUCACAACUCUGGUGACUUUUACCGAUGACUGAGGUGAGAGGGACAAAUGUGACCUCCUACAUUGAUGAUGGCGGCUAACGAGGCUAUACGGGUGUGUGGGGAGAGGCUGAGAUACAUAGGGGACAGUAUGCACACGGAGUAUGGCCAGGCGAAUGAUCGCUGGACCAAAGGUACGUGUCGCAUGGCAAGGGUCUCUCUAAUCAUCCUCUCCCUUCUCAUCAAAAUCGCCUCUCAUACGGAACACCUCUGAAUGGGGACAAAAGAAUUGUCUGUCUACCUCGUCAAAGUCUGUGGAGCCAUUCGAGUAAAUGUGUACCUGUUUAACAGGCUCCUAGUACUGGCCCUGACCGCCAGUCGUACCAGGUGAGGAGUACUACUGUAGGAACGUCCUUACAAUAGCCGUCCAUGCAGGCCAGGAGGCGUGUCUGGUGAUUCCUCAAAAACAAUGAAAUAUGAGGUGUGCUUUUCUUAUGUACGUUUUACAAAUUGUAUUAAUGGAUUUGCUUACUUUAACAAAUAUCUGUCUGCCCGGUCUAUAAUAAAUAUCAGAUAAUGUGACUCGUUACAGAGGGAUUAUAUGUAGAAGUUCAAUAACUAAAACUGUUUGGACCGGAAGUAUAACCACCGCUAACUAUGAAAGGAGUUCGUGAUACUAGCACUGUUAUACGAAUCAAAGGCUUGCAGAGGAGAACGAUACAAAUAGUAAUUGAAUAAGGAUCUUGUUAAACCUCUGACGGAGAGCAAUAUGCACGCAGAAAGCCAAAGAUUGGAAACAGUUGUUCGUACCUGACUUUCGAGAAACCAGUGUGAUUUGAUUGGUGUAUCAAUGUGAUUUUGACAACGUAGUAACUUGUGUACAAAACAUUAUUGUACGGGCACAAGAUGAAGGCAUUACCUGUACAACGUUUAUGUGACGGUUCCAAAUGAAGUUAAUAUGAAGUUACUGCUAUACAAUUAUAUAAGUGGCAAGUUGAGGUUAGUGUGUUUGAUAGUGACAAUAUGUGACAUAACAUAACAACAUGAAAGGAAUAUAUACAAAAGUGCUAGUGACAGGAUGGAGACACUGUUUGACAUUGUGCAAGGUACUGCAGAGGCAAUUGUACCCAUGACACGAUGAAGGUACUGUUUGACAGUUGUACCUGUUGGAUGAUGAAGGUACUGAUGUGACAAUUGUACCUGUGGGAUGAUGAAGGUACCGUUUCACAAUUGUACCUGUGCAGCGAUGAAGGUACCGUUUGACAUUUGUACCUGUGGGAUGAUGAAGGUACUGAUGUGACAAUUGUACCUGUGCCGCGAUGAAGGUACUGUUUGACAAUUGUACCUGUGCUGCGAUGAAGGUACUGUUUGACAAUUGUACCUGUGGGAUGAUGAAGGUACCGUUUGACAAUUGUACCUGUGCCGUGAUGAAGGUACUGUUUGACAAUUGUACCUGUGGGAUGAUGAAGGUACCAUUUGACAAUUGUACCUGUGGGAUGAUGAAGGUACCGUUUGACAAUUGUACCUGUGCCGUGAUGAAGGUACUGUUUGACAAUUGUACCUGUGCCGCGAUGAAGGUACCGUUUGACAAUUGUACCUGUGCCGUGAUGAAGGUACCGUUUGACAAUUGUACCUGUGCCAUGAUGAAGGUACCGUUUGACAAUUGUACCUGUGCCGUGAUGAAGGAACCGUUUGACAAUUGUACCUGUGGGAUGAUGAAGGUACCGUUUGACAAUUGUACCUGUGCCGUGCUGAAGGUACCGUUUGACAAUUGUACCUGUGCCGUGAUGAAGGUACCGUUAUGGAAUGUUGUCUGUACCAAUAACACUUUGAGGCAUUACAAACAAAUAUUUUCAGGAAGGAACUUAUAUUCGGUAGACUGCAUUCAAUGCGUCUAACUGAAGUGCGUAUUUCCCCAGUCUGGGGUAUUCAGGAUGUGUUCAGAGAGGUGUUCGUAACGACUUGUUGUCAGGCUGGGUUUUCAGCAUUGAGAUAUUGUAUUGGCUUUACAUUAAGACAGGCAUUUUUUGUUUUUGUUCUUUUGUUUAUUUUUUGUUAUUUUUUUUAAUGUAUUUUUUGCUUUAAUAACUUUUAGAUAGGUACCCCCCUGAAUCCGAUCCACUUUGAUAGGGUAAAUCAUCGGGCAAUACUACCAAAUUCAGGGUAAAAUCAUCACCGGACAAUAUAAUUGUCGACCAAGUUAACCCACAGUCGAAAUGUAAAUCAUCGAACGAUACUUCAUACAUCAUAUUCACUAAUGCGUAAUCUAAGUCAUAUAUAUUUUUCUACAUGACGUAUCUACCAAUUCAACAUCCUGAUUCUCUCAAUUGUCCAAGGUAACAGAAAUCGUUUUGGUGCCAAUGUAAUAAAGACGUUGUUUACUUGGGUUUGGUACUGCAUACAAAGAAUACGUACAGACCUCCAAAUACCGACAGAGGUAAGGCAGACCUCCAAUAAGGCAGACCUCAAAAUACCGACAGUGGUAUUAUAACAGGGACGUAUUAAGACAGACCUCCAAAUACCGACAGAGGUAUUAUAACAGGGACGUAUUAAGACAGCCCUCCAAAUACCGACAGAGGUAUUAUAACAGGGACGUAUUAAGACAGACCUCCAAAUACCGACAGAGGUAUUAUAACAGUGACUUAUUAAUGCAGACCUCCAAAUACCGACAGAGGUAUUAUAACAGGGACGUAUUAAGCCAGACCUCCAAAUACCGACAGAGGUAUUAUAACAGUGACUUAUUAAUGCAGACCUCCGAAUACCGACAGAGGU
RNAcentral lists this long non-coding RNA (3210 nucleotides) under Mizuhopecten yessoensis (Yesso scallop). RNAcentral describes it as "uncharacterized LOC110458599". The record is from RNAcentral. Lineage: Eukaryota; Metazoa; Mollusca; Bivalvia; Pectinida; Pectinidae.